This 497-nucleotide ribosomal RNA is filed under the name uncultured bacterium. RNAcentral describes it as "partial 16S ribosomal RNA". It matches the Rfam family "Bacterial small subunit ribosomal RNA", at positions 28 to 507 of the family's 1533-position model. The record is from RNAcentral.
GAUGAACGCUGGCGGCGUGCCUAAUACAUGCCAGUCGAGCGAACAGAUGAGGAGCUUGCUCCUCUGACGUUAGCGGCGGACGGGUGAGUAACACGUGGAUAACCUACCUAUAAGACUGGGAUAACUUCGGGAAACCGGAGCUAAUACCGGAUAAUAUAUUGAACCGCAUGGUUCAAUAGUGAAAGACGGUUUUGCUGUCACUUAUAGAUGGAUCCGCGCCGCAUUAGCUAGUUGGUAAGGUAACGGCUUACCAAGGCAACGAUGCGUAGCCGACCUGAGAGGGAGAUACGCCGCACUGGAAGUGAGGCAGGGAGCGGAGACGUGCGGGGGGCAGCAGGGGGGAAUAGGGGGCAAGGGGCGGAAGCCUGAUCCAGCGAUACGGAGGGAGUGAAGAAGGCGUUCGGAUCGUGAAGCGCUUUUGUUGGGAAAGAACAGAAGCAGGGUAAUACCCAGCUGCGCGGACGGGAACGAAAGAGUAAGCACCGGCUAACUUCGUG